This 1611-nucleotide ribosomal RNA is filed under the name Triticum aestivum (bread wheat). RNAcentral describes it as "partial small subunit ribosomal RNA". The record is from RNAcentral. Lineage: Eukaryota; Viridiplantae; Streptophyta; Magnoliopsida; Poales; Poaceae.
AUGGGUAAGUUCGAGCACGGCAAUCUACUGCUAUCUCUUAGCCAGGGACACUGGCAUGGUUACAGUCUUACAGCCGUUGCUGUUGCGCUGGGGGUAGGAGUUGCUGGGCUGUGCAGAGCGCUGAAUAGCAGUUUGGGCGUACAAUGGUUUCUCCGGAGGUUCUCCUCCGAAUCAGAGAGGCUGUACUACACCGGAGGCCUGCAAAAUCUUGGCAAUAAUUGCUUUCUCAAUGUUAUCCUGCAGGCACUUGCUAGCUGCGACCAUUUUGUCUUCUCUCUAGACGAUUUACUUGGAAGUGAUGAUGUGCUACCCGAGGAACAAUCUGAAAGAAUGCCUCUUAUCCUUGCUUUAAGUUCCCUUUUAAAAGAUUUGAGCAGAGUUCGAGAUCAAAAAAUUGUAUUGAAUCCAGAAAGCGUAAUGCAUCCUUUGAGCUGCUAUGUUAGUCACUUCAAUUUGACCAGACAGCAGGAUGCUUCUGAAGCUUUUGUUCAUCUAUUGACAUCACUGAGGGAUGAAUUUUCCCAUUGCUAUGUACCAUAUAAGAGCUCUCUGGCAGACAUUACCAUGUUCCACUCCAAAGUAUACAAGCAAAGGGAAGGUAACCAACCUGAAUGCAAGCGCUGGAAACAAAACAUAUUCGGUCCCUUUGAUGGGACUAUUGGCAGCACAUUAUCUUGCAGAAAUUGUUCAUCUGUGCUGUCAUUGGACUUCGAGAAUUUUCACUGCUUGCCCCUCUCUCCCGUGGCUGAUAUAAAUGGAGAUAUUAUUAAUGGGUGUAGUUUGGUGGAUUGCCUGAAGCAUUUCACUGUGUUGGAGCAUCUUGACAAUUACCGUUGUGAUCAUUGUUGGCAUAAUGCUGCUGCCAAAUAUUUCUCUCUUCAAUCAGAAGUUGAUGAGGAAAAAGUUAACAAACUGCGCACCUGUGUCGACUAUGAUAGUUGCAAUUGCAAGCAUUUAUUUGGUCCAGAGAAAACAACAUGGUCAGUAUCUUCGAAAGCCACAAAGCAGUUGGCUAUCACUCGUUGUCCGAAGAUCUUGUGCAUUCAUUUGUUACGUGCUUCUAUUAGUUUUGAUGGUGAACUCGUAAAGCGUCAGGGACACGUUUCUUUUCCUUUACUUCUCAAUUUAUCCCCAUUUGCAGGAGGCACAUUCACCACUGGACAGGGACCUGGACCUUCAGCUAUGAACGUGCAAAAAUAUGACACGCCGUCUCUCAAAUUCUAUCGGCAACUAAAUGCACACAUGCCCAUUAAUAUGUUUCCUACUGGUGGGAACUCAUCAAGUCAGGCACCUAAGGAUCAAGUAACAAAUGGUGGUGUCCACUCACUUAAUGAGGGAAAUGCUGAUGUGGCUUUGAGUUCUUCGUCACCAUCGCCGUCCGCAUCAAGGAUGGAGCUAUAUAGGCUAUCAGCUGUCGUUGAGCACUAUGGUGUAUGCGGAGGUGGGCAUUAUGCAGCUUACCGGAGAGUAGCGUCAACUCCUGACGCUAAUGAUCAAGUAGGACCUCGUCGCAAGCACUGGGUUUACGUCUCGGACGACCAUGUAUCACAAGUUUCAGAGGACGAUGUUUUGGGUGCGGAAGCCACCCUCCUUUUCUACGAAAGACUGUAG